AUUCGGGGUGCUACAUUGUGGCUGAGAUUAUACCCAUUGAACCUGUUCAGGUAAUGCUGGCGUAGGUAAUGA
This 72-nucleotide non-coding RNA is filed under the name uncultured Nosocomiicoccus sp. The record is from RNAcentral. Lineage: Bacteria; Bacillati; Bacillota; Bacilli; Caryophanales; Staphylococcaceae.